RNAcentral lists this ribosomal RNA (434 nucleotides) under uncultured Eubacterium sp. RNAcentral's name for it is "partial 16S ribosomal RNA". It matches the Rfam family "Bacterial small subunit ribosomal RNA", at positions 341 to 792 of the family's 1533-position model. Lineage: Bacteria; Bacillati; Bacillota; Clostridia; Eubacteriales; Eubacteriaceae. The record is from RNAcentral.
ACGGGAGGCAGCAGUGGGGAAUAUUGCACAAUGGGCGCAAGCCUGAUGCAGCAACGCCGCGUGGAGGAAGACGGUUUUCGGAUUGUAAACUCCUGUUCUUAGUGAAGAAAAUGACGGUAGCUAAGGAGCAAGCCACGGCUAACUACGUGCCAGCAGCCGCGGUAAUACGUAGGUGGCAAGCGUUGUCCGGAAUUACUGGGUGUAAAGGGAGCGCAGGCGGGGGAGCAAGUCAGCUGUGAAAUCCAUGGGCUUACCCCAUGAACUGCAGUUGAAACUGUUCUUCUUGAGUGAAGUAGAGGUUGGCGGAAUUCCGAGUGUAGCGGUGAAAUGCGUAGAUAUUCGGAGGAACACCGGUGGCGAAGGCGGCCAACUGGGCUUUUACUGACGCUGAGGCUCGAAAGUGUGGGGAGCAAACAGGAUUAGAUACCCUGGUA